This 456-nucleotide long non-coding RNA is filed under the name Homo sapiens (human). RNAcentral's name for it is "non-protein coding LINC01708:20". Lineage: Eukaryota; Metazoa; Chordata; Mammalia; Primates; Hominidae. The record is from RNAcentral.
AUUCUGCAGAUAUAACUUGAUGACCCUGGAUGCAAAGAGUUAACAGAGAUAUGGCAUGAACAUGUAUUAGAAAAAUGAUUCACACACAAUAGAAAAAAUAAGUAAGACCAGGAUUGGGUGGCUUUGGAGAAUGUAAUUUCAGCUUGAAUAUGAAGAUGCUUGUAGAACAGUGUUCCUUCCUCUGAACAUGGCUACAGAAGAACAAAUCAGUUAGUCUGAAGAUGAAAACAAGAAGCUGAUGGUAGACACAUUCUGAACUGGCUAACACAACACUCUGAAACUGGAGGAUAUCAACUGAUAAGAUAUGAAGUUCUCCCUUAGUUUCAAAUACACUGGGUUCAUAAAUUAUUGACAUAAACAAUAGAUGUCCCAUCAAGCUACCAUGAAGAUAGCUAGGUCUGCACAACUCCUCAAGUGUCGACCCCUCCAAGCACAUCCUCCACCUGGAACUGUGAA